GCCCCUAUAGCUCAGUUGGUAGAGCAGCAGACUUUUAAUCUGCGGGUCGUCCGUUCGAGCCGGACUGGGGGCACC
RNAcentral lists this transfer RNA (75 nucleotides) under Mycolicibacterium austroafricanum. RNAcentral describes it as "tRNA-Lys(ttt)". It matches the Rfam family "tRNA". From Rfam's summary of the family: Transfer RNA (tRNA) molecules are approximately 80 nucleotides in length. Their secondary structure includes four short double-helical elements and three loops (D, anti-codon, and T loops). The record is from RNAcentral. Lineage: Bacteria; Bacillati; Actinomycetota; Actinomycetes; Mycobacteriales; Mycobacteriaceae.